AUACGUAGGGGGCAAGCGUUGUCCGGAAUCAUUGGGCGUAAAGGGCGCGUAGGCGGAUCAUUAAGUCUGGUGUGAAAACUUGGGGCUCAACCCCAAGCCUGCAUCGGAAACUGUUGAUCUUGAGGACAGGAGAGGAAAGUGGAAUUCCACGUGUAGCGGUGAAAUGCGUAGAGAUGUGGAGGAACACCAGUGGCGAAGGCGACUUUCUGGACUGUAACUGACGCUGAGGCGCGAAAGCGUGGGGAGCGAACAGGAUUAGAUACCCUGGUAGUCCACGCCGUAAACGAUGAGUGCUAGGUGUAGAGGGUAUCGACCCCUUCUGUGCCGCAGUUAACACAAUAAGCACUCCGCCUGGGAAGUACGAUCGCAAGAUUAAA
RNAcentral lists this ribosomal RNA (377 nucleotides) under uncultured bacterium. Its description in RNAcentral is "bacterial SSU rRNA". It matches the Rfam family "Bacterial small subunit ribosomal RNA", at positions 523 to 898 of the family's 1533-position model. The record is from RNAcentral.